CGUGCCUACGGGGGGCAGCAGUGAGGAAUAUUGGUCAAUGGCCGAGAGGCUGAACCAGCCAAGUCACGUGAGGGAAGAAUGUCCUAUGGAUUGUAAACCUCUUUUGUCAGGGAGCAAAGUCACCCACGUGUGGGUGUUGGAGAGUACCUGAAGAAAAAGCAUCGGCUAACUCUGUGCCAGCAGCCGCGGUAAUACGGAGGAUGCGAGCGUUAUCCGGAUUUAUUGGGUUUAAAGGGUGCGCAGGCGGAGGUGCAAGUCAGCGG
This 263-nucleotide ribosomal RNA is filed under the name uncultured bacterium. RNAcentral's name for it is "partial 16S ribosomal RNA". It matches the Rfam family "Bacterial small subunit ribosomal RNA", at positions 334 to 594 of the family's 1533-position model. The record is from RNAcentral.